UGAGAUAAUUCUCAGGGUGGACGGACAGA
RNAcentral lists this non-coding RNA (29 nucleotides) under Rattus norvegicus (Norway rat). The record is from RNAcentral. Lineage: Eukaryota; Metazoa; Chordata; Mammalia; Rodentia; Muridae.